Molecule: long non-coding RNA, 5140 nt
Organism: Onychostruthus taczanowskii (white-rumped snowfinch)
Lineage: Eukaryota; Metazoa; Chordata; Aves; Passeriformes; Passeridae
Exons: 4
Source: RefSeq, a predicted model, not a curated record
UCAGGGUGUAUCUCCAGAAAAUUAUUUCAAACUGUGGGAAAUGUCCCUUCUGAACUCAUAUAUUUAUUUUCAGUCCCUUUUUUUUUGUGAAAGCUAAGACAAAAAUGGUCCAGAUUCAGAAAGGAGAAAAAACAGUAUGGAUUCCUGGGUUUUUCCCUACCUAGUGCACUUUUCCUGUGGUAACACAACAAAGGGGACUUAUCCUAUACACAGGUACUGUCAAGUUCAACUUUCUUCUAUUCCAAAGUGAUUUAACACAACCCUACAAAAGUAGAAUGAUAAAAAGUAUUUUUAAGAUAUGUCAGACCACCUUUUUGUCAUGACAGAUUUGUAUAAAUUAUCAGAAAAAAAUUGAGUAAAACUGCAAAUAAUUUUGCCUGUCUUAAUUUCCACAGUUGUUGGACUCACACAAAAGUUGUCAAUUUACACUAUUAAUAGAAUCAUUGAGCCUCUAUUUAGUAUUCGGAAAAUAAUUUCUGAGGAUAACUGUGGAAACAUUGUGACACAGUAAAAUACUACAAUGGCAUAGAUGAUGUACGUAAAAGGAGACAAUAAUAAUCUUAUAGAUGACAUGAAGAAGUGUUUUAAUGUUUUGUGUCAAACUGACAGGUUUUUUAAUUGAUAGUCUGAUUAUUAUUCCACUUAUUAUUAUUAUCUUAAAAUGCAACCAAAGAGAAGUAAAUAGAUGCAAAUUAUAUGUUUUACCACUUCUUUAAGUCUUGAAAAUAAAAUUCUUCUUCAACUGCUUCCUUUAAUGAUGACCAUUAUCUUCUACUCUAAUUUAUUCUUUUUACCAGAAUACUUUGCUGUAACUAUUAUUUAUUAUUAAACUAGUCAGCUUUUCUAUUAGAUAUGAUAAUCAAAUUCCUUUCUUUCUAAAGCCCAGUACAGGUCCAUACUAAAACCCAGGCCAUUUUACUGGGGUUAUAAUUUCUUUUCUCACUACCAGUUCUGUUAAUUUAGCCUUUCUGAAGUGAAAAACCUUCACUGCACUGAAUAAACUGUUUGCCCAAGGAGCCCAGUGAGGCUUGGAGUGAAAUCUCUGCUAAGAUAUGGGAUACAGCAAGAUUUCUGGGCAGAACUGAAAGUAUGAGCAGAGGUGCUUGCCUAUAGACCUAGCAGAGAUAAAGAUGGUAAUAGCUAGGCAAACAGCACACUUCCCAUGAUAUGUAGUAGGAGAUUAGGAAUAGGAAAAGGGGUGGGGGUAGGAGAGGAGAAGAAACCUUUUAGGGUUUAAUGAGAAGGAGUGAAAGCUAAGUCAACACUUGUGUGCUGGUUACUCAGCACUGGAGAGACAAGCAUGGAGAUCCCAGAAAGAUAUUUGAAAAGCAAAAAUUUUUCAAAUGACAAGAAAGUGAGGGGGUUUGGCAGUUAGCAAGCCUGAUGAAAGGAGGAGAUGAUUGUGAAAAGUGUCUGAGGAAGUCUUGCUCAAAGAUCUCCGGAGAAAGGCCUGAGAAGUUAGUCUAGUUAAUCACAGGUUAACUAUAUUGUCUGUGUAAUGUUGUAUCUGGAACUUCUAAAAUCUGAUUCUUCAAUUGACAGGAAGUUUUUAUGGUGAUAUUUUGAAGGUCAUUUCAUGUACUGCAAGAGGAAAUUCUCCAUAUAGAAGUUAUUCUAAGGCUGCAAAGAGCAGCUUAUUUUCAGGAAUCACUAUUUUUAGGUUUCCCAGGAGCCUGCCUUUGCAGUGGGAGCUCAGCAGUGUGCAUGGAGAAGGUGGCUGGACGUGGGCUGAGGCUGGCGUGCUCUCCAAAUGACAUUCAAGGUGCCAAACUUUCCCACGGAAAGAAGAUAAAUCUUCUGGCUUUUUGCUUUGUUCUUGCCAGUAGGCAACCUUCAGUCCUGGGUGUUCCUAGGGCUGAUGCUCUCACAUAUUCUCACUUCACAGAAUCAUGGAAUCAAUUAUCUUGGAAAAGACCUCUGAGAUCAUUGAGUUCAACUUAUAAAGAGUUGGACUGAAUACAAAGUUAGGAGUUCUACUCUCUAAUUUUCCAGGGCCCCUGCAAUCCAUCCACAUCCCAGCUUGAUCCCAGAAACCUGACCUUGGGCCAACCUGGCAGGACGUAGGUGAGACUGCAGAACUGAAAAGGGACAUGCUUCUGGGAUUAGCAUCCUCUCUAAUGUGUGAGCUGCCUGAUGCAAGCCUGGAGAGCUCUGCAGGCCAAAAGAGCAAUGUGAUACAUCAUGAACUCCAAGGCAGAAUUUUGACCACCUGCUUUUUAAAAAACUCCCUUUCAUGCAGCUUUUGAUACAUCAACUUACACUUCCAACACCAAAAUAGGCGCAUUUCCAUUGGAAGCUUUAACUCUGGGACCUUUUUGGAGACCUCAGGCCAUGAAUGAUCCCUUGCUGCUGGCCAGUGUUGCUGUGCAGUGUGCCCUACAGCAUAGAAACCGCUGAAUUUGUGGACCUACAUCUUGACAUAUUUCUUUGUGCUUUCAUUUUCAAGCUCCUUUGCUAAGGAACUUUUCUUGGUAUUUAUGGACUCCUAGGUACAUAAAGAGGCCUUCCUCCAGACCUCCGGAAUCUUAUUAUUAUAUUACAGAAAUGGAAUAACUGUUUCAUCUUACAAUCAAAAAUUUUACAGAGCUAUUAUAUUUUUCCUUGCCUGUGUUUAAUAGUGUUUUAUCAGUGCAAGAUGAUGACGUUUGUAAUUAACCUUUGAAAUCAAGAAAUCCUCUUCCCAAUUUUUCAAUUUCAUCCAGCAAAAAUGUCCAGAAUUUUUAUUAUUCGUGAUCACAGGGUGGGAACAUCUCUUCUAUGAAGACAGGCUGGGAAAAUUGGGGUUAUUCAACCUGGAGAAGAGAAAGCUACUCGGAGACCUUGCCAGCACCUUCCUAAAGAGGUUCCAAGAGAGCAGGGUAAGGACUUUUAAAAAGGUCACACAGUGCUAAGACAAUGGGGAAUGGCUUUAAACUGAAAGAGGGUGAGUUUAUAUUAGAAAUUAGGAAGAAAUUCAGAAUACUGUGAGGCUGAUGAGGCACUGGAACAGGUUGCCCAGAGAAGUAGUAGAUGUCCCAUCCCUGUGCUCAAGGCCAGACUGGAUGUGGCUUUGAGUAAUCUGGUCUACUAGAGGGUGUCCCUGACUGUUGGAAAUAGAUGAUCUUUAAAAAUCCUUCCAAAACAAUCUAUUCUAUGAUUACCUGCAGAUGUCUUUGCCCAAGGUAGAAUACAGAGGCCUUGAUCCAGUAUGCAUUUCUUGAAUUGAAUGACUUGAAUUAAAAAUUCAACAAUUCAUGUAAACACAUCUUGAUUUUUGAAAAAAAAAUUUAUUAAGGUGUAAAAGUGCUUCAUUUCAAUUAAAUUGAGAAUUGCAUUUUCAAGAGACAAUUUUUUUUAAAACUGACUUUAUUUUUAUUUCAUUUUUCUUUCUGUCUAUGUCAUAUGUCAAUAAAUCCCACCUUGAGAACAUUAAGAAUUAUGACUUGGGAAAAAGACCUCAAAAAAUAAACACUUCUUCUGAGUUGGAAACUUCUAGCACCAAUGACUGUUUUUGCAUUGAAUUUUCUGAAGCAGAACUGAGAACAAUACCAAAAAACUGAGCAGCCACAGGCUAAUAAUAAAACAGUACAAUAUUGCUGGAAAUUCCAGCAGAGAUCAUGGACAAAAAUAGUCACUUCGAAGGUCAAUUGUUGGGCAAGGAAUGAUGUUAGCUUAUAUUUUUUUCAUAAUGAAUAGGCUUCACAUUACUUAAAAAGAAAUAAGGAUAGAGUUGAAAUGAAAGUUUUAAAAAACAAUAAUAUUUGACUCACCAACUCCCAAGGUGUCUCAAUGUUUUGUCCUCAUUUUGUCUAUGACUUUAUUUCAGAAUCUCAACAACUUUUACUGAAUGGAACUUCCAUUUUUAAAAAGGAAGUUCUUAUUUCUGACUGCUUUUCCCAGUCUGCUGUGUCUUAGAUCUGUGACUUGAAUGUCCUUUAAAUCAGCACACAUAUUGUGGCCAAACACUCACUGUUUUAUUAUGAAUGUAGCAAUCCCUUCGACAAGUGACUGUUAUAAAUAUUAUUAAAUUAUUGAUAUAAAUAUAUAUAGUUAUAGAUAAAGAUAUACACAUAACAUUUUUCUAGUCUUUUACUUCCUGAAUAUGAAAAAAAGUAGGAAAUCUGAAUGUGCAACACUCCUUCCCUGAAAACAGCUACCUGUUACCUAAUUUUCUGGCAGGUGAAGCCUUGGGAAGAAAUCCUUCUUAGAAGGGACAAAAUCAUGAAUUCUCUUCCACCUCACUGGGAAUCAUAAUAAAUACUCAUUAUCCUAUGGGGCAAAAAAAUAAACAUUAAACAAUAGGGUGGGUUAAUGUUAUUGAUAAAGCUGAGUCUGAAUGGAAAACAGGUACAAGAAAGUGGAAGAAUAUAUGAAGAAAAAAUCAGGAAGACAGAACAGAAGGGACAAAGGUGAACUGGAAGUAAUCUUACAAUGAGUUGCCAUGAAUAACUGCACUUACUUCUUCAUUCAUAGAAUCAUAAAAUGGCUUGGGUUGUAAGGGACCUUGAAGACCAUCAAGUUACAUCUGCCCCAAUCUGACAGCAACAUGUAGGGCCAGAAUAAGAGACUGUCUACAUUUUGCUUGUCACCAGCUAAGCAGUAUGGCACAGGACAUUAUACUCAAUCUCAUUCUUCUAGUGAUGGCUCAGGAGAUGCAGGAAGUAGGUUAGCAUCAAACAUGUAAAGGGAUAUUUGGAGACUGGAACUCUUUCAUGGUUUAUAGACACUACCUCUAAGUAAAGUCCUAAAGUAGCUCCUUUUCUUUGAUAGUAAUUUUUCUUAAAUCUGUGCUAUCAGAAAGCCAGUGGCAUGUGGAAAGCAUUAUUAACCUUUGUAAAACAAGCCAGAGGAACUGCUAAAACUGGAAGCAUAACUAAUACUUUACAUUGACUUAUGAAAUUAAGGCUAGGCAGUCUUAGGAGAAAUCACAGAUCUCAUGGUUUCAGUUUUGUUGAGUCAGUGCUUAUUUUUGUACCAGUGAGAAGUUACCAUGGACACACUUGUCAUGACAUUUUGUCCACUUCUCCAGAUAAUGUAAGGAUUUUCUCAACUGUUCUUUGCCAUAAUGAGAAACUCUAAAAGCUUAGUUGUAUGAGACACAUUAAAUCAUCAUCUUUUUUUGGUACCACUUAGUGAGAUCCUUUCCAGAAUGACUGGAAUC